RNAcentral lists this long non-coding RNA (2650 nucleotides) under Phaseolus vulgaris (common bean). RNAcentral's name for it is "long non-coding RNA (PVUL_LNC004589)". Lineage: Eukaryota; Viridiplantae; Streptophyta; Magnoliopsida; Fabales; Fabaceae. The record is from RNAcentral.
UGCGAUUGCAGGGAUCUGUAUGGGAAGUGAUGUUGCCAAUGAAGACGUUGCUUGAGCAUUGCGCAGAAGGACAAAUAGACCAGUUGGUAGGUUUGAGUUCGGAUUGCUCGCAUUGUAAUCUAAAUACAAAAUCAACAUAACAAAUGACAUCACACGUAUAUAUAAUAAUACCAACAGAACACAAAUUAAAGUAGUAACAUAAUAUGUGAAAAACAAAUGGGGGCACUCACAUGUAGUUGUUGCUGGAGUCACACUUGCAUUUGACGCAUUCGUUGGCAGUAUAGGCGUAAGAAGAAUUUGCAACAAGCAAUGGAUAAUCCAAUGAUUCAUUUUUCACACUCGAGGAACAAGCUGCCACAACCAACAAAUUCAAUCACCCCAACAUAUAAAUUCGUCCUUAUCUCUCAUCUACGCCACUAAGUGAUUACACAAAGCUACAAUUGCUCGGAUAGGAUUCUAAAUUCUCUUACAUCAUCCUUCUACUAAUUGUUUGUUUUAUAUGCUAAAUAUUAUUUUUUAUUAUACUUUUAAGAUUACAAAUCAGAACUUGACUGACAUGAUAGACAUUAUCAUGUGUUUGAAGAUUCUAGAAAUAAACAUUUUUCAUAGUAUAUAAAAAUAAACAUCGAUUUUAUAAAAUUAAGUAGGCUUAAAUCCGUUUAAUACCGAUAACAAAGAGUUUAUCUUUAUUCCAUGGAAAUAAAUGAUGAAUAUAUAUAAAAAACUGAUCAGUCAAAACAAUUCGUCUCUUUCUGUAUAACUGUUUGAAAAUUAUUCAAAAAAUCAAUUAUUAAAAAAAAUACUAUUUUCAAUAGAUUAACAUUAUGGACUUCUAUUGACUUCAUGAAUCAGGUACACGACAACACGUAAAUAAUGGACCAGGAGGUAGCGUAGUCAUGUUUUCUUUGUGUAAAAUAGUGGUAUCGUGUAAUCAGACUUCAAUUUGAAACUCUAUGAAUAAAUUAUCCAACUUAAUUAUACUUACAUAUACACUACGAUUAGAUAAAUCCUAAUAGAUUAACAUUAUCCAGACCCCAAAAAAAAACAAUUUCAACUUUCGUGUAUCUAAUUUACAUAAUAAUUCAUUUGUUUUAAUAAAUUUAAAUCGAAACCUAGCAAAUGGAUCUUUGUAUAAUAAUUUUCUACCCGAAAGUUGUUUGUAUAAAAAAGUAAUAAAGAUGUUUGAAAAAAAUAUAAAUAUAAGAAAAAAAUAGUUAAAUAUAUUUAGCUCUUUUAUAAACUAAAAUCAAUUUAUAGCUUUAAUUUUAGGGAAAUGAAAUGAGAAGUCUUUCUACAAAAAUUAAGUUCACGACGCAGUUUCAAAAAGUUGGGUGGAUGUGGCUUUGAUUUCUUAAGUUUUUUUGAAAAAAUUCGAGGAAUAACUUACAUUUGACAAAAAAAAAUAUAUUUUUUAAGUCCUUAUUACUCUCGUCCAUCUUUCUACAGAUUUUAGAAUUAAUUGACAAUUUAUUUUGUUCUCAUUAAAUAUUAUAAAUAAAUGUGUUUUUUGUAUAAUCAGAAGAUAAUUUUAAAAAAUGAUUAAAUUUGAUAUUAAGAUCACAUACACUAAUUAAAAUGGUAUUCUCGAAAAAUACUUCCAGUUCCUAAAUAACAAAUUCAAGAGACUAAUAUAGCACAGUUUUAAAUACAACUGACUAAAAUAUUUUUUUUAAAAAGUACUUUCAGUUUUUAAACAAUAAAUUUAUGAAACUAAAAUCAUAUAUUUUUAAAUUUUUAAAAAAACUAAGUAAUUUUAAAAAAAUGAAAAGAAAAAAAGUAGAUCGUUUUGAAUUUGAGAAAGUAAAAUCAUAGUUAGUAAGUAGAAAAGGUGGAUGAAAGUUAGAAGGAACAAAAUCAAAAUUAUUGUAGGUUGGGAUUGGGAAUGCGUUUGGAAAGAGGCGCAAUCAUAGUUUGCAUAUGAAGGAAUCGAAAGAGGAAGAGAAUGAGAUGAAAGUGGUAGGUUACCUUGAAGAGGAACAUCAAGAAUCUGACCGGCCUGAAGCGUUUUGGGGUCGGAAAUGCCAUUGAGUGUGAGGAGGAUCUGCUGACUGGUGCCAAAUUGUUCAGCAAUACCCUCCACCGUGCUCUGUGCCGCCACCAGGUGCGCAUAGUGCACCACUCUGCUCCCAUCCACCUCGUCGCAGCUACACGGCAGCGGAAUAUAAAUCGUGGCCCCGGCGGUGAUAUUAUUCUCGUCCGGUAUAUUAUUCGCCGCCGUGAUCUGCGGAUACUUCACAAGACCCCCAAACGUCGUCGUCGCUAUGUUGUACAGCGUGUCGUCCUUUUUUAUCUUAUAAAGCGGAACCCGGUCCGAGAGUCCCGUCCCGUUGAGGCACCUGCACGGCAACGGCACCUUCACAACCUCGCUGGGCCCCACCUCGUGGCGCUUUGUGGUGUUGCUUGGGAGGUUGUUCGCGCCUAGGAUGUCCACAAGUUUCUUCACGUUGAAGAGGGUUUGGAUGUCGCCCAGGGUGGUGCCGUUCACGUGAGAGUACCCAAUCAGGGCGCCACAGGCGGAGUUAUUCGCGCUGUUGCACACGAAUUUGGCCUCCGGUUGGGCCUCUACAGUCGCCACCACCGCGAUUGCUACCACCGCUAUAACUUUGACCAUCCAAACAGCCCCUUUCCCCGCGCCCAUUUUGUUCUAGUG